UACGUAGGUGGCGAGCGUUGUCCGGAUUUACUGGGCGUAAAGAGCGCGCAGGCGGUCGUUCAAGUCGGAUGUGAAAGCCCCCGGCUCAACUGGGGAGGGUCAUUCGAUACUGAUCGACUCGAAGGCAGGAGAGGGAAGCGGAAUUCCCGGUGUAGUGGUGAAAUGCGUAGAUAUCUAUCGGAACGCCAAAGGUGAAGACAGGCCGCUGGGCUUGUACUGACGCUGAGGAACGAAAGCGUGGGGAGCAAACGGG
This 253-nucleotide ribosomal RNA is filed under the name uncultured bacterium. RNAcentral's name for it is "partial 16S ribosomal RNA". It matches the Rfam family "Bacterial small subunit ribosomal RNA", at positions 524 to 776 of the family's 1533-position model. The record is from RNAcentral.